RNAcentral lists this ribosomal RNA (312 nucleotides) under uncultured eukaryote. RNAcentral describes it as "partial 18S ribosomal RNA". It matches the Rfam family "Eukaryotic small subunit ribosomal RNA", at positions 1470 to 1796 of the family's 1831-position model. The record is from RNAcentral.
CCCCUAGAUGUCCUGGGCCGCACGCGCAAUACAAUGUAAAGUUCAGAAAGCAUAUCCUGUUCCGGAAGGCAAUGGGUAAUCUUUUCAAUAUUUUGCGUGUUAGGGAUCGAUCUUUGCAAUUAUAGAUCUUGAACGAGGAAUACCUAGUAAGUGCAGCUCAUCAGGCUGUACUGAUUACGUCCCUGCCCUUUGUACACACCGCCCGUCGCUCCUACCGAUUUCGAGUGGUCCGGUGAAUCUUUUGGAAUUAGAGUGCAAACUCAAACUAAGAUCGAUAAACCUUAUCACUUAGAGGAAGGAGAAGUCGUAACA